Molecule: ribosomal RNA, 253 nt
Filed under: uncultured bacterium
Lineage: Bacteria
Description: partial 16S ribosomal RNA
Rfam family: Bacterial small subunit ribosomal RNA
Source: RNAcentral
UACGUAGGGUGCGAGCGUUGUCCGGAAUUAUUGGGCGUAAAGGGCUCGUAGGCGGUCUGUUACGUCGGGAGUGAAAACUCGGGGCUCAACCCCGAGCCUGCUUCCGAUACGGGCAGACUAGAGGUAUGCAGGGGAGAAUGGAAUUCCUGGUGUAGCGGUGAAAUGCGCAGAUAUCAGGAGGAACACCGGUGGCGAAGGCGGUUCUCUGGGCAUUACCUGACGCUGAGGAGCGAAGGUGUGGGGAGCGAACAGG